This 277-nucleotide ribosomal RNA is filed under the name uncultured bacterium. RNAcentral's name for it is "partial 16S ribosomal RNA". It matches the Rfam family "Bacterial small subunit ribosomal RNA", at positions 524 to 800 of the family's 1533-position model. The record is from RNAcentral.
UACGUAGGGCGCAAGCGUUAUCCGGAAUUAUUGGGCGUAAAGAGCUCGUAGGCGGUUUGUCGCGUCUGCCGUGAAAGUCCGGGGCUCAACUCCGGAUCUGCGGUGGGUACGGGCAGACUAGAGUGCAGUAGGGGAGACUGGAAUUCCUGGUGUAGCGGUGAAAUGCGCAGAUAUCAGGAGGAACACCGAUGGCGAAGGCAGGUCUCUGGGCCGAUACUGACGUGAGGAGCGAAAGCGUGGGGAGCGAAACAGGAUUAGAACCUACCGUAGUCAGUCC